Molecule: RNA transcript, 2969 nt
Organism: Ziziphus jujuba (common jujube)
Lineage: Eukaryota; Viridiplantae; Streptophyta; Magnoliopsida; Rosales; Rhamnaceae
Exons: 4
Source: RefSeq, a predicted model, not a curated record
AUUAGAGGAGUGGCAUGUAGUCUAAAACCCAGUCCAUUCUUAAACCCUAAAUUACAUGAAGAAGAAGAAGAAGAGGAGUCUGAGUCUGCCCAAAUCAAAUUCAGAAAUCCUCCACCUUUCUCUUUGAUUCCCUUUGUCUUUCUCACUCCUUUUCCACCUAUCUUAUUGCUGCCUUAUAUUUCUUCCAUUUUCUAUUCUUUUUUGUAAAAUUAUUUCCAUGAUGUUUAAAUUGCGGUUGGACUUUUUGGGCACUAAUCUUUUUCAUCAGACAGAGAAUCUGAAGCAUUCACAAACAAGAAGAAGCUUAAUGGGAGUAGUCUCUAUGCAUCGGAGCCCUCCUCACAGGCUUGCACGUGAAGAAGUUGCCUAUUGCUUGAUCCCCUUUGUUGUUCGGCUGUCAUAUCAAAAGUGUGAAAAUAGAUCAAUUCUAGGUUUGCUUGUGACGGAUGGUUGGUUAAGAAGGAGCUACUGCAACCAAAAUAUUUCAGAACCAGAUUCUGGGAAGCUUUAUACUGAUUUUCAGUCUGCUGACACUUAUCCUUUUCUUAAAUCGAAAUGUCUUCAGCACUGGUUCAAGAAUUGGCAAGAACGCAGAAAGCAUAGACUUACAGCAAGCACUUUUGCUGCAGCUGUUGGAUUUCGGCAUGGCAGAAGAGUCCAGCUCUGGUUGGAGAAGAUUGGGGCAAUUGAGACAUUUUCUGGUAACAUACCUACCUUUUGGAGCAAUGUAAAAGAAGAAGAAGCACUUGAAAGAUACAAGCUGAUAACUGGAAAUACUGUUAUGUUUCCGGAGUUUCAGGUCUAUGGUAAUGCUAAUAAGGACCCUGUAGAUAGUUGGCUUGGAGCUUCACCAGAUGGGAUAGUUUAUGGAUUCCCUGUAGACAAGGAUGUUUAUGUAUUGCCUGCAGGAGGAGUGCUGGAGAUUAAGUGUCCAUUCUUCAGAGGAGAUAUGGCUAAUGCUAAUCCUUGGUUGCGGAUCCCUAUCUACUAUGUUCCACAGGCGCAGGGUUUGAUGGAAAUAUUGGACAGGGAUUGGAUGGAUUUCUAUGUUUGGACUCCUAAAGGAAGCAGCUUAUUUCGGAUGUAUCGAGAUGAAAAAUACUGGAAUGUACUGAAAAUGGCACUCUCUGAUUUCUGGUGGAAGCAUGUCCAGCCUGCAAAGAAGUUGUGCAGUAAAUCAGUGAUCAUGAAUCCCCUUACUGAAUUACAUUCACUUAGGCCAGCAGCUAGACAUGAGUUAUGCAGUUACAUUGUUUAUGAUAGCAAACGCAUUGUUGACAGCUCCAAGUUGUUGAUGCGAGAAAUUGAUGGAAAGCUGCAAAUAUGAUCUAUGUGGAUGUCUCCAAUUGAUAUUUAGUUUAGCCUAUUCGGAUUUAUGUGGCUUACAUUGAUAUGAUAUAUAUCCUCUGCGCUCAGCAGCAGAGAUAUGGCUUUCUGAGCUGUUGGGUGAAACUUUGACCUUAAUACCACACAAAAUAAAUAGCUGGAGUUGGAGCACAGAGAUUAUAAUAUUGUUCAACGAGUGAUGUACAGAGAAAUACAGUUGAUGAAUGCAAACUCCAUGAGGAUGAACAACUACCCAUCUAUUUCAGUUUUGGAGUAUAUGAAAGGAUUUCCUCCAGAAGGAGAAGGGAGUCGCAGUUGAAAUCAAAUUUUACCCUUGAAGUAUUGACCACAUUCAGCAUACUGGAUUCUCUGGACAGGCCUUCGUUGGUGAGCAUCAAGCUUUUGUUUUCAAGAAUAUGUGCAUGCACACUGUUCACCUUUCAGUUUGGUGAAGCACCUAUCAUAUUUCUUGUUAAAAAAAGCAAUGUUUAUCUUCAUCCCUCAUAAUGGGAAACCAUGUGAAUCUGGGGGCAGAUUUGAAACCAUUACUGAUUGCAUAUACCUUGACCCCUUUCUUAAUCAUUUUUCUUAUCAAACUCAGUUUACUGCCUUUAGACUAUGAAAUUACUGCAAACAAAGUCACUGCUUUUAUAUCUUUCCAAAAUUCUCUAUGAGAAAUCGUCCUUUGAGCUUUGUUGUUUUCUCUAUUCUUUAUCACAAUGUCUUCUCAUAGAGGUCAACACCAACACCAACAAAGGCAGUGGGGUUGGAUUGUCUCGCCAAGAAGCUCUACACCCCUCCUUGGGUGACCCAUCUCAACCCCAUUCCUUCUAACUACUCUUUUACCCAUGUAAUCAAUUUCUGUUCUUUCCCCUGUUAUCUAUUUCAUCUGGCUUUUUCUUCUUUUCUUCUCUUAUGUUGAAACUUGUGAGUAUAUUAAUUGGUUAUUACAGUUUGUAUUGAUUACUAUAUGCUUUCUAGCUUUUCUUAUCAGCUUCCAACUCCAAUUCAUAAAUGGAAUCUACCUAAUCUGCCGAACAGCACUCAAGUCUAGUUGAUGCUUGAGGGGAUUCUUGGCAGACAAUUUACUUUCCCACUUCUUCUAUCAAAUUGUGUAUUGCACUUUGCCAUUGAUGUUCUGUUCUACCACAUAGGAAGGUGCCCAAUACUUCAAGAGCUAAAGGAAGGCCACAAGCAUGUUAAACAAUAUGAUCUGAAAGCAUAAGAUAAUCUUCUGCUGGUAUCUCCCUCUUAAAAGCAUUCCAACUAAAGAGUUGAACCGCUCUCAAAUGAUCCAAUACCCCUGCCUAUAUCACAUUAGCUCCAUGAGUGGUUAGCAAAGUGUUUAUUUCUACCAGUUAUGAUGAUUCUACUUACUAAGCCAAACCACUCAUGCCUUCCUACUGAUGUCUCCAGCUGAUCUAGUUCAUCAACAUCAUCAAGAACUACAAGUACUCUCCUUGUAUCGUAGUCUUACCGUUAUGGUAUUGACACCUCUAUGAAUAUUGCCAACUUUCAAAAUGUUAUUCCCAAUCAUGUCAAAAAGCGUCUUGUAGUUGAACAAAACUAACAUGCUGCAAGGAAGUUGGAACCUUCAAAUUCUUCAGCAAAUUUAUUGAAUAAAGCUUUGCCAAUUAUUGUCU